UACGGAGGGGGCUAGCGUUGUCCGAAGUUACUGGGCGUAAAGCGCGCGUAGGCGGGUUGGUAAGUCCGCUGUGAAAGCCCGGAGCUCAACUCCGGAGGGUCGGUGGAUACUGCCAGUCUUGAAGGUGCUAGGGGGAGAUGGAAUUACCGGUGUAGCGGUGAAAUGCGUAGAUAUCGAGAGGAACACCAGUGGCGAAGGCGAGUCUCUGGACGACACCUGACACUGAGGCACGAAAGCUAGGGGAGCAAACAGG
Molecule: ribosomal RNA, 253 nt
Filed under: uncultured bacterium
Lineage: Bacteria
Description: partial 16S ribosomal RNA
Rfam family: Bacterial small subunit ribosomal RNA
Source: RNAcentral